GACGAGGUGGCCGAGUGGUUAAGGCGAUGGACUCAUAAUCCGUUAGGUCUGCCCGCGUGGGUUCGAAUCCCAUCCCUCGUCG
Non-coding RNA from Haliotis rubra (blacklip abalone), 82 nucleotides. NCBI's taxonomy places the organism in Eukaryota, Metazoa, Mollusca, Gastropoda, Lepetellida, Haliotidae. The record is from the annotation of a RefSeq genome assembly.